CCUACGGGAGGCUGCAGUGGGGAAUAUUGGACAAUGGGCGAAAGCCUGAUCCAGCCAUGCCGCGUGUGUGAAGAAGGCCUUCGGGUUGUAAAGCACUUUCAGUGGGGAAGAAAGCCUUGGGGCUAAUACCCUCGAGGAAGGACAUCACCCACAGAAGAAGCACCGGCUAACUCCGUGCCAGCAGCCGCGGUAAUACGGAGGGGGCGAGCGUUAAUCGGAAUUACUGGGCGUAAAGCGCGCGUAGGCGGUCUGAUAAGCCGGUUGUGAAAGCCCCGGGCUCAACCUGGGAACGGCAUCCGGAACUGUCAGGCUAGAGUGCAGGAGAGGAAGGUAGAAUUCCCGGUGUAGCGGUGAAAUGCGUAGAGAUCGGGAGGAAUACCAGUGGCGAAGGCGGCCUUCUGGACUGACACUGACGCUGAGGUGCGAAAGCGUGGGUAGCAAACAGGAUUAGAUACCCUUGUAGUC
This 465-nucleotide ribosomal RNA is filed under the name Vreelandella stevensii. Its description in RNAcentral is "partial 16S ribosomal RNA". It matches the Rfam family "Bacterial small subunit ribosomal RNA", at positions 338 to 795 of the family's 1533-position model. The record is from RNAcentral. Lineage: Bacteria; Pseudomonadati; Pseudomonadota; Gammaproteobacteria; Oceanospirillales; Halomonadaceae.